UGUAGAAGACACUUGCCCAAGAUGCCCUACAGUGGUACUGACCCCAAGACCACAUGGUUGGGAAGCAAGUUUCUUAACCACACAGCCAUGCCAUUUGUGUAGAAAUGUUGGUGAAAUUCUAAAUUUUUUGUCUUUUAUAUAGGCGCAGGAGUGGCUAUGUGGUAAGUAGCUUGCUAACCAACCACAUGGUUCCGGGUUCAGUCCCACUGCGUGUCAUCUUGGGCAAGUGUCUUCUACUAUAGCCCCAGGCCGACCAAAGCCUUGUGAGUGGAUUUGGUAGACGGAAACUGAAAGAAGCCUGUCGUUUGUCCCCCUAGCAUUGCUUGACAACCGAUGCUGGUAUGUUUACGUCCCCGUCACUUAGCGGUUCGGCAAAAGAGACCAAUAGAAUAAGUACUGGGCUUAUAAAGAAUAAGUCCCGGGGUCAAUUCGCUCGACUAAAGGCAGUGCUCCAGCAUGGCCGCAGUCAAAUGACUGAAACAAGUAAAAGAGUAAAAGAGAGUAAAAGAGAGUCAGAAGAAGAAACCUUGUUUUAGAGCUUCUAACACUAGAUGGUGGAAGGAAGGAAAUUAUCCUCAGUUCACAGACCUGGCCUGGAUGUUUACAAAAAUAGCAAACUCUGCUAUAGGUACCUAAGAACCAGGAACUCAUGUUAAACCAGCUAGCAGAUUAAGUCUACUAUCCAAGAACAGGAACAGUUCCUCUAAUGGGCUUCCAUAGUUUCUGUCUACCAAAUUUCAAACACAAGCCUUUGGUCAAUCCAAAGGAUAUGGUUGAAGAUACUUGCCCAAGGUGCUUGCAGAGAGAUUGAACCCAAUACCAUAUAAAUGUGAAACAAAACUUCUCAACCACAAAACCAUAUAGUUAAUCCUGUAUAUCUAACCAGUACAUUAGCUUUUCCUCCGAAAUAUGAACCUAUCUCUUUUUUUUAUAAUUUAUAAUUUUCUAAGUUGUUUUAAAACAAGUCGUGAUACUCAGAGAAAACAAUAUUAUAUCACUACUACUACUACUACUACUACUACUACUACAACUACUGCUGCUGCUGCUACUGCUUACAACUCACUGUCAUAUCAUUUAGAGUUAGGUACUGCACUUUGUGGUAGUAAGAGGGUAUGUUAUAGAAACUAACCAAGUAUAAAAA
This 1141-nucleotide long non-coding RNA is filed under the name Octopus vulgaris (common octopus). The record is from RNAcentral. Lineage: Eukaryota; Metazoa; Mollusca; Cephalopoda; Octopoda; Octopodidae.